Molecule: RNA transcript, 3909 nt
Organism: Lycium barbarum (goji berry)
Lineage: Eukaryota; Viridiplantae; Streptophyta; Magnoliopsida; Solanales; Solanaceae
Exons: 7
Source: RefSeq, a predicted model, not a curated record
UUAAUAAAAAAACAUAACACUCCGCAUUCUUUCCCUUCCAGUAACGUUUCAAAACUUAACAUAACAACCACAUUAUGUUUUCUUGGCUAAGUCCAGUUUCCUUAUACGGCGGUUUCCUUCGCCGUUGCCUCACCAACGCCGGUCUAACUUCUCAAACCAUACAAAUCGACGAUGAAACCACCAUCCAUUUUUGGGGUCCAAAAAAAUCAUCAAACAACCAAUUAAUAAAACCAUCACUUAUCUUAAUCCACGGUUUUGGUCCUCAUGGUGUUUGGCAAUGGCGUCCACAGAUAACAUUCUUUUCUAACGACUUCGACAUAUAUAUUCCUAACCUUGUCUUCUUUGGUCGUUCAACGACAAAAUCUUCCGACAGGUCCGAGGUCUUUCAAGCAACCUGCGUGGUAAAGCUUUUAGAGAAACUUGGCGUUGAAAAGUGUUCGGUUAUUGGGACAAGUUAUGGUGGAUUUGUAGCGUAUCAUAUGGGGAAGAUGUGCCCGGGGAAGGUAGAAAAGGUAAUAAUAGCAAGUUCAGGGGUUAAUAUAAAGAAAAAAGAUAAUGAUGGGUUAAUGGAAAGAGCUAACGUAGAGAAGAUUGAGGAUUUACUGUUGCCGGCGACGGCGAGUCAGUUGCGGAAGUUGAUUAGUUUGUCUGCUCAUCGGCGUCCACCAUAUUUGCCGGAUUUCUUGUUCAAUGAUCUCAUCAACAAAUUAUAUGUUGAAAACAGGAAGGAGAAGCUGGAACUGUUAAAAGGUUUGAGCCUUGGAAGAGAUGACACAGUAGAUCAUAUUACUCCACUUCAACAGGAAGUAUUAAUUGUGUGGGGAGAGCAUGAUCAGAUAUUCCUACUUGACAAGGCAACUGAACUCAAAGAGUACCCGAAGAUACAUCCCGAAGACGACACUCGGAAGGAACCCGGAGACUUCAUCGAAUCACUGUUUGUAUUUACUUUCCGCAUUUUUUAUAUAACUGUACAAAACAUAACACUACUAAAAAAAUGGUCAUUUUCGACCACACAUUUGGUCGAAAAAAAAUCGACCACGGAUGGUCGAAAUUUGAAGAAUUUAAUUUUUAUUUAAUUUUUUAUAGAAUUUCGACCAUACUGGGUCGAUUUUUUAAUAGGAAAAAUACAUUUCGACCACGUGUGGUCGAAAUUAAUUUUUAUACAAAUAAUAAAUGAGAAAAAAACAUUUUAUACAGAAUUAAAUUAUAUAUAUAUAUAAAAAUUAAUUAAAAAAUAAAAAUAAAAAUCUAAUUUCGACUACAUGUGGUCGAAAUAAUUAAGUCAAAGUCGGUCAAAUCUGACUUAAUUAUUUUCGACCACAUGUGGUCGAAAAUUUCAAAAGAUUUAGACUCUAGUCUCUUUAAUUUUCUUUUCAUUUCCCCCCUUUCUCUUUCACUCUCUUCUCUCUCUCUCCUCUCUCUACCAUGCUAAGUUCAUCUCACAAAGAAGAGCUUGAGAGAAUCCUGAGGUUACAAUUAAUGCUUGGCAAGAGAAAUUAACGAGACCCGUAUCUUGGCGGGGCAACCCGGAUCUGAACCCGAGGUUUGCAGCCAUGGCGAUGUCUUUAUUUUCUUGUUUUAUAAACAGAUCUGAGCUUUAAUUUUAGUCUUGUAGCUCUUGUUUGAAUGGUUGUUACCUAUUGUAUUGUGUUAUUAUGCUAAAAGGGUGUGUUUGGUAUGAAGAAAAUGUUUUUUGUUUUGUCAUAAAAAAAAAGAUGUUUUUGUUUGAAGAAAGUUGGGAAAUUUUUAGGCAAGGGCCAAGAAUUUUCUUUAAAAAAAAUUCUGGCCAGAGACAGAAAAGGGAUGUUCUGUUAAGGGCGGUUGCCCCUCUCUGUUGUGCCAAUGAUUUUCUUUUUAGCAACUAAACCAACAGCCCUUUGUUCAUGAAAAAUAUGCAUGCAUUUUCUUCAAUCUACAGCUUCAGCCAGGGGCGGACCUAUGUAGAAUUUUUGGGUGCUCCGGCACCCAUUAAAUUCAGUUACGGAGUGUAUAACUGUAUAGAAAAUAUAAAGGAAACAGAUAUAAAUAGUUAAUAGAGCACCCCGAACUCAAAAUUCUGGGUCCGCCUCCGGCUUCAGCUGUAUAUCUCAGUGUGUGUUUCUGUUUCCUCCUUUUGGAGUAAUUGAGCAAAAGAGGUUGUGAUGAAGAUAAUGUUUUACUGUCUGGGCUAACAAGGGCAUUGAGGGCAGUCCGACCCGUAUCUUGGCUUGGCAAAUCCCAGGAUGGCCUGCAUCUGAGGCUCUCUUUGGCAUGCGACUGGUGAUUUUGCAGCCAUGGCGUGGUUGCCAUCUCUUUGUCCGAGCAAAAAUGUAGUAUCUGAGCCUCAAAUUUUUGUGCUUUAAAGGGUCGUUUGGUUGUUGGUUAGGAAGUGAGUUAUUCGUGUUAGGAGGAUUAUUUCCCCCUUUAGAGUAAUUGAGCAUGUUCCUGAAUCAACUUCCAAAUAUCAUCUUCUUAUCAGCUGAGCCAUGUUAGCAUAUACUAGUAGUCAAUAGCAUAAUUAAACGUACUUAUAUUUGAUAAGGUUGACAUUCUCUCAUUCCUAUCAAAUUGAAAGAGAUUUUGGCGUUGAGAUGAUGAAAAAGAAUACUAUAAAUGCAUGACCUGGACUUCAGAAAUUCAAUUCUUUGGAACCUAUUGAAAAUGUAUGAAGGAUUUUGCCCAUUUCGACUCUUCUCAGCAUACACUGUGCCAGUGUUCAGGAAAGCUGGCGCUUCACCGCUACGCUUCGCUUAAAGCGGUGAAGCGAAGCUUUGUCACUUCAGGUAAGUGGAGCGGAGGCUACCCAAUUAAGCGGACGCUUCUGAGAAUGAAGCGGUGAAGCGGCAAGUCAUUUCCUAGUUGAUGAAGUUGAAGAAGAUGAUAAUGAAAUUGAAGAAGAUGAUGAGCAAUAUGAUGAUGAUGUGGGAGUACAAGAUUUUGACAAUCUUGUAGAAGAAUAAGAACUAGAUGUCGAACUAUUAGUAGCUUUGAUUUUGUUUGUCCUAUGGUCUGGAGGAUUUUGUGAUAUCCACUUUAGUUUUUUAUUUGAACUUUUAGUCUAUGGAUAUCUACUUUAGUUUUGAAUUUGAACUUUUGCUUAUAUAUAUAUUCUCUAUUUAUUUUGCUCUUUUUAAAAAAAAAAAUUGCGCUUCACCUCAAUGAAGUGGGCACUUCGCUUUUGCAUCUUUUGCUAUUGUUGUUUCAUCUUUUGCAUAUCUUGUAAGCUUAAACAGGAAGAGAGCGGAUCAGUGAGUGACUUAAGAUACUACAAGAACUUGUUCCCAAUGGUUCCAAGGUUGAUUUGGUCACCAUGUUAGAGAAAGCAAUCAGUUACGUCAAGUUUCUUCAAUUGCAAGUGAAGGUGUUGGCAACAGAUGAAUUUUGGCCGACACAGGGUGGAAAAGCUUCAAAUAUUUCUCAAGUAAAAGAUGCCAUUGAUGCCAUCCUUGCCAGUCAACGAGACAGAAACUCAACCUCCAAGUGAUUAUAUAGUACCUAGCUAGAUUAAUCUGUUGAAGAAAAUGAAAGAAUUAAAAGGGUUUCACAAAUAAUUGAAGUAGCGCAGCAAUGGCUUCAAAGGAAAUAGAGUUCCCUUUGGAGAACUAAUAUGGUGGUGAAAAUUUAGCCUUAAUUUGUGCAUUCCGAGCUUCUUUGAUUAACCAUGUAUUAGAAGUCAUCUAAAAGCUAAAAAAAGAAGAAAUUUUCUUUGUUUUAGUUCGUCUUUUUUGUCAUGCACUCAUGCUUUAUCAGUUUGUAAUAUGGGGAUUUUUAGUUCGAAUUAGAAGCACUUUUAAGUUUAUAAUGUUUAAGUGUUUGAAUGAUGUUUAUGAUGUUUAAGUGUUUGAAUGUAGUUUUAAUUUUAAGUACUUUGAGGUUGAAUUUGAUUGUUUAUAAGUGUUUGAAUGGACAAUGUUUAAGUGUUCAAGUGUU